AGUGACACGGGGUAUUUGGAAGCCUGCUUCUAUGAAUGGAACUGAUUGGCCAAGUCCUGCUGCAAAUCUCUCCAAUGUUGAGGAGCAGAUCAAGAAAAUUUUAGCAGCCACUGGUGUAGAUGUUCCAAGCCUUGUUGCAGGUGGCAGCUCUCCAGCAAUUCUUCCACUGCCAUUGGCCGCAUUUGUCAGCCUUACUAUAACAUAUAAACUUGAUAAGGCCUCCCAGCGUUUUCUCAAUCUGGCGGGCCCGGCUCUGGAGUCACUUGCAGCUGGCUGCCCUUGGCCCUGCAUGCCAAUUGUGGCUUCUUUGUGGACGCAAAAGGCAAAAAGGUGGAGUGACUUCCUCGUUUUCUCUGCAUCUCGAACUGUCUUUCUUAAUAACCACCAUGCAGUCAUUCAGCUUCUCAAAAGUUGUUUCA
RNAcentral lists this unclassified non-coding RNA (419 nucleotides) under Hevea brasiliensis (rubber tree). The record is from RNAcentral. Lineage: Eukaryota; Viridiplantae; Streptophyta; Magnoliopsida; Malpighiales; Euphorbiaceae.